UGGUGCGAUCAUACCAGCACUAAUGAACCGGAUCCCAUCAGAACUCCGCAGCUAAGCGUGCUUGGGCGAGAGUAGUACUAGGAUGGGUGACCUCCUAGGAAGUCCUCGUGUUGCACCUC
This 119-nucleotide ribosomal RNA is filed under the name Vigna angularis (adzuki bean). The record is from RNAcentral. Lineage: Eukaryota; Viridiplantae; Streptophyta; Magnoliopsida; Fabales; Fabaceae.